UUCUACGGAACAACUGAGGGAAACUUCAGCUAAUACCGUAUACGCCCUACGGGGGAAAGAUUUAUCGGAAUUGGAUGAGCCCGCGUUGGAUUAGCUAGUUGGUGAGGUAACGGCUCACCAAGGCGACGAUCCAUAGCUGGUCUGAGAGGAUGAUCAGCCACACUGGGACUGAGACACGGCCCAGACUCCUACGGGAGGCAGCAGUGGGGAAUAUUGGACAAUGGGCGAAAGCCUGAUCCAGCCAUGCCGCGUGAGUGAUGAAGGCCUUAGGGUUGUAAAGCUCUUUCAGUGGGGAAGAUAAUGACGGUACCCACAGAAGAAGCCCCGGCUAACUUCGUGCCAGCAGCCGCGGUAAUACGAAGGGGGCUAGCGUUGUUCGGAUUUACUGGGCGUAAAGCGCACGUAGGCGGAUCGUUAAGUCGGGGGUGAAAUCCUGGAGCUCAACUCCAGAACUGCCUUCGAUACUGGCGAUCUUGAGU
RNAcentral lists this ribosomal RNA (479 nucleotides) under uncultured Mesorhizobium sp. Its description in RNAcentral is "bacterial SSU rRNA". It matches the Rfam family "Bacterial small subunit ribosomal RNA", at positions 134 to 647 of the family's 1533-position model. Lineage: Bacteria; Pseudomonadati; Pseudomonadota; Alphaproteobacteria; Hyphomicrobiales; Phyllobacteriaceae. The record is from RNAcentral.